UUAAAUUGAAGAGUUUGAUCAUGGCUCAGAUUGAACGCUGGCGGCAGGCCUAACACAUGCAAGUCGAACGGUAACAGGAAGCAGCUUGCUGCUUUCGCUGACGAGUGGCGGACGGGUGAGUAAUGUCUGGGAAACUGCCUGAUGGAGGGGGAUAACUACUGGAAACGGUAGCUAAUACCGCAUAACGUCGCAAGACCAAAGAGGGGGACCUUCGGGCCUCUUGCCAUCGGAUGUGCCCAGAUGGGAUUAGCUAGUAGGUGGGGUAACGGCUCACCUAGGCGACGAUCCCUAGCUGGUCUGAGAGGAUGACCAGCCACACUGGAACUGAGACACGGUCCAGACUCCUACGGGAGGCAGCAGUGGGGAAUAUUGCACAAUGGGCGCAAGCCUGAUGCAGCCAUGCCGCGUGUAUGAAGAAGGCCUUCGGGUUGUAAAGUACUUUCAGCGGGGAGGAAGGGAGUAAAGUUAAUACCUUUGCUCAUUGACGUUACCCGCAGAAGAAGCACCGGCUAACUCCGUGCCAGCAGCCGCGGUAAUACGGAGGGUGCAAGCGUUAAUCGGAAUUACUGGGCGUAAAGCGCACGCAGGCGGUUUGUUAAGUCAGAUGUGAAAUCCCCGGGCUCAACCUGGGAACUGCAUCUGAUACUGGCAAGCUUGAGUCUCGUAGAGGGGGGUAGAAUUCCAGGUGUAGCGGUGAAAUGCGUAGAGAUCUGGAGGAAUACCGGUGGCGAAGGCGGCCCCCUGGACGAAGACUGACGCUCAGGUGCGAAAGCGUGGGGAGCAAACAGGAUUAGAUACCCUGGUAGUCCACGCCGUAAACGAUGUCGACUUGGAGGUUGUGCCCUUGAGGCGUGGCUUCCGGAGCUAACGCGUUAAGUCGACCGCCUGGGGAGUACGGCCGCAAGGUUAAAACUCAAAUGAAUUGACGGGGGCCCGCACAAGCGGUGGAGCAUGUGGUUUAAUUCGAUGCAACGCGAAGAACCUUACCUGGUCUUGACAUCCACGGAAGUUUUCAGAGAUGAGAAUGUGCCUUCGGGAACCGUGAGACAGGUGCUGCAUGGCUGUCGUCAGCUCGUGUUGUGAAAUGUUGGGUUAAGUCCCGCAACGAGCGCAACCCUUAUCCUUUGUUGCCAGCGGUCCGGCCGGGAACUCAAAGGAGACUGCCAGUGAUAAACUGGAGGAAGGUGGGGAUGACGUCAAGUCAUCAUGGCCCUUACGACCAGGGCUACACACGUGCUACAAUGGCGCAUACAAAGAGAAGCGACCUCGCGAGAGCAAGCGGACCUCAUAAAGUGCGUCGUAGUCCGGAUUGGAGUCUGCAACUCGACUCCAUGAAGUCGGAAUCGCUAGUAAUCGUGGAUCAGAAUGCCACGGUGAAUACGUUCCCGGGCCUUGUACACACCGCCCGUCACACCAUGGGAGUGGGUUGCAAAAGAAGUAGGUAGCUUAACCUUCGGGAGGGCGCUUACCACUUUGUGAUUCAUGACUGGGGUGAAGUCGUAACAAGGUAACCGUAGGGGAACCUGCGGUUGGAUCACCUCCUUACCUUAAAGAAGC
Molecule: ribosomal RNA, 1557 nt
Filed under: Escherichia coli
Lineage: Bacteria; Pseudomonadati; Pseudomonadota; Gammaproteobacteria; Enterobacterales; Enterobacteriaceae
Description: bacterial SSU rRNA
Rfam family: Bacterial small subunit ribosomal RNA
Source: RNAcentral